This 398-nucleotide ribosomal RNA is filed under the name uncultured bacterium. Its description in RNAcentral is "bacterial SSU rRNA". It matches the Rfam family "Bacterial small subunit ribosomal RNA", at positions 30 to 429 of the family's 1533-position model. The record is from RNAcentral.
AUUGAACGCUGGCGGCAUGCCUUACACAUGCAAGUCGAACGGCAGCACGGGAGCAAUCCUGGUGGCGAGUGGCGAACGGGUGAGUAAUAUAUCGGAACGUGCCCGGUCGUGGGGGAUAACGUAGCGAAAGCUACGCUAAUACCGCAUACGAUCUACGGAUGAAAGCGGGGGAUCGCAAGACCUCGCGCGAUUGGAGCGGCCGAUAUCAGAUUAGGUAGUUGGUGAGGUAAAGGCUCACCAAGCCGACGAUCUGUAGCUGGUCUGAGAGGACGACCAGCCACACUGGGACUGAGACACGGCCCAGACUCCUACGGGAGGCAGCAGUGGGGAAUUUUGGACGAAUGGGCGCAAGCCUGAUCCAGCAAUGCCGCGUGCAGGAUGAAGGCCUCGGUUGUAAC